CACGAAAGCAGCAACCUCGAAACAGCUGGUUUCUCGCGUCGCAGAGCACGAGUUAUUUUGAAUAGCUGCACGCAACGCGGUCACAAAGCGGGGGCGGAAACCCACAUUUUACCUCCGGAAACGUCCGCUGCCUCUUCCUCAUCUUCUCCUCAACCCCAAACUCGGCAGCUACUCAAUACACGAACGAAACUGGACCAUCGCUGCGGAGGUAGGGCCGGGGGGGACAAGGGGAAAGCUCCAGACAAACUCGCCGCAUGAGAGUUGCCGACCGGACCAAAACGCGAGAACGGGAUACCCGUUCCGAAGGAACAUAGAGGCGCCUUCGUUGCGUGUCAGAGGCACGCGCAAACGAAGCAGAAAGAGGAGGACCGAAAAUUAAAUGAAAAAAAAAAGAAAUGACAGAAAGGACAAUCAGUGAGCAGCAAGCACCCACUGGUUGGCCGGAGGAAUCCAGACCGACGGAACGAUUGCCGGCAGGCGGCGCGAGGAACGGCGUCAGCUUAACUUCACUGCAGACGUUCGGCCGCGGUGCGCACGCACCCAAGACAAACACCGACAGCCAGCGUUCUUUCGCUUUCUCGUUCUUCUGGAUUCCCAUUCGUUACUGCGAUCUCUCCACCGCCACCGGUCUCGUUCUGGGCGCGUCCCCGAUGCCGCCGUCAAACCGGAAGGCGUCGGACAGCACACGGGCUGCUGCGAUAAGGGCCUGCUUGCCCCUUCCCCCCUCUACGCCUUCCCCUUCACAACUUUCUCUGCCUCGUUCGUGUGUAUUACGCGCCGGCAACGCGACGAGCGAGGGGCGAGGGAAGGCAUAAAAGAGGUUAGCCUAAUGCCACGCAUCGCGGUCUCGAGUCAGGGGGAAAGAAAAACCACCCGCGGAACCCAGCGUGCGGCCAUUCCACUCGAAGACACCAACGUCUGCGGUGAGAUCCUCCAGAACCCUGUCGACCGGAAGCCAGGUGCGGUCGCGAGGGCGCCACGUGUAGUGUGGACUGGAUAACGCAGUGAACAGCUUCGUCAUUCGGCGACUGACAUUCCGGAAGAGUGGACUUGCUCUUGUAGACAUUUACUUUGCCUCAGGAACGCGAUGGUCUGGAACAAGUACCUCGUCCUUUUUUUCAUCCUCCUGUUCUUGCUGAUGUUGGUGCACUUCGCGGAGCCGCACCAUCAUCACCACCAUUUGUGGCUGAUCAAGCAUAAACUGAAGAAGCUUCUCGUCCUCAAGCAUCUCAAACACCUCAAGAAACUGCACCUAUGGCACCACCACGGCUAGACGUCUUUGUGGAAGCCAAUGCACACAAAAAAUUUCGCCAUGAACUUCACUUCAUCGCCUUUGGUGUCCGCGCUGCCAUGAGGCCAACCGCGCACAAACAACGGGACGCGGAUGGUCAUCGCCUGCCUAAGGAACUUGUAAAUCACGACCUCUCAUAACAUGACUUUCCCUCCUUGAUUAAAUAUUACUCACCCUCAA
Dermacentor andersoni is the source of this 1471-nucleotide long non-coding RNA. RefSeq lists it as uncharacterized. The record is from RefSeq and is a predicted model, not a curated record. Lineage: Eukaryota; Metazoa; Arthropoda; Arachnida; Ixodida; Ixodidae.